AUACCACGAACGAGUCAACAACAUUGCCGACUCCAUCGUCGCCAAUGGCUUCUAUCCGCACAAGCCGCUCGGCGGUCUGCUGCUCGAUAGUGACCACGAUCACCUGUUCAUCCAUGAUGGCGAGCACCGGCUGGACGCGAUCCCGCUGGCACGCGAGCGUGGUGCGGAGAUCAAGGCGGUGCCGGUCGCUGUUGCGCCGCAGGGCACUACGGUCGAGGACCUGACCGUCAGCCUCGUCCAGUCGAAUACCGGCGAGCCCCUGUCUCCGGUCGAGAUGGGUGCCGUCAUCAAGCGGCUGCUGACCUACGGCCUCAGCAAAGAGGAUAUCGGCCGCCGGAUUGGCAAGACUGUUCGGC
Molecule: unclassified non-coding RNA, 356 nt
Filed under: plant metagenome
Description: partial contains 5.8S ribosomal RNA, internal transcribed spacer 2, and large subunit ribosomal RNA
Source: RNAcentral